Long non-coding RNA from Lolium rigidum, 2612 nucleotides. RefSeq lists it as uncharacterized. Lineage: Eukaryota; Viridiplantae; Streptophyta; Magnoliopsida; Poales; Poaceae. The record is from RefSeq and is a predicted model, not a curated record. The transcript is spliced from 15 exons.
GCGUACUGAAACCAGGGGUUUCUACCUCGGCAUUUCUCUGACUGCCGGAAUGGCUUCCCCAAGGAAGGUCCAUUGGCUCUGCGUUGUCCGGUGAGAGGACGGACUUUGGGAACUCAACAAGGGAAUGAUGUGAGGGAGAAAGAUACCGCCUUGCCGUUUUGCAGAAGUCGAAGGAGGACUACACAGAGCUUGGUAGUGCCGGCCUCCCCAAGCUCAUGCUGCUGCCGGUGUCAAUUAACCCAGAGCAAUAUCCGGAGUUUUCCAGCAAAAGGGCGAGGUGACAAGGAGGCCGACCUGCUGCUGAUUGACCCCCUGCCAGGACAAGGAGGAAUCAAACACAUGGGCUUGAAAGUCAAGUCUUUGUCUUGCUGAUCUUGGACAAAAAGGGCAGUGAGAAGAACAUCCUUGUCUUUGACUUAAGUGGUGGUACUUUUGAUGUCGAUAUCCUGACCAUUGCCAACGGUGGGUUUUAGAUGUUGGCCACCAAUGGCGGUACUCUUUUUGGAGCUGAGGACUUCGACCACAGAGUCAUGAACUACUUCAUCAAGUUGAACAAGAAGUACAACAGGGAAAACCAUGCUCUUGGAAAGAUGAGGAGGGGAGCCCUGACCCAUGGCAGCCGAACAACGACCCCUUCUGCAAGACCAUGGGACCUGUGAAGAAGGCCAUGGAUGAAGCUGGCCUUGAAAAUAGCUACCGAAGAUCUAACACCUUCUCAGGGACUACUCCGAUGGUAAGGAGCCAAAGAAGGGUCUAUUUUGAGUUUGUGAGCACUAGCACCAAGGUGCCAAAUUGCAAACUAAAUGGUCUUUCAAAUGACCUCCUCUUAGAUUCCAAAGUUUAGGUUGCCUGGUUCUUUUCCCUGUGAUUAGAAGAGCUUAACUAAGGAUCAAUCUUCACCAGCAAGGUUUAUGUAUGUCAGUUUGUUGGGCCUAUCAGUAUAGAUAUCUACGAGCCGGUUUAGUGCACCUUUGAAGUUACUAUUAGGACAUUCCCAAGAAAGUCGCUGAAGAGGAAGACACUCAUGUGGUAUAGUAUUGACGCAAUGUCGACACUUCAGCAUGAAAACCUCAAGAGGACUCGGAUCAACAAUGCAGGUAUUCCACAGUGGUUAGUCUGGAUCAAGCAGUUCGAGUGGCACUUAUGGGCUUCUACGGUCCUGAUAGUCGGGAGGAUACAAGACACGAGGGAGCUCCUCGAACAUUGCCGAUGCUGGAGGACCCUCCAAUCCUGUCCGAGUCGAGGUCACGUGCCUCCGUUAUAAGGACCUUGGUUGAUCAUGCAAAGCCGGAGAUCAAGGCUCUGCGCAUCUCUUAGCGAGAAGUCUGUCCCACCCAAGCUGCUGCUACCGCCGUCUUCCCUGACCUUCUGCGGCAUGGGAAUACGUCCUCAUUGAAGGUAUUGAACAUGUACCCAUUUUUAUCAUAGAUGGUUUAUACGUCCUCAUUGAAGGAUGUCGUUUUUCUUGCAAUAGGAAGGAUUGUGAGACCAGCUGUUGAUGCUGUAUUUUGGAAGAUGUUGUGUACCCUACCGAGAUUGUGGGAAUGCGGGUUUUGAUGGUGCCAAGAUCUACUUGAACCCAAAGGAGCGCAACAGCACCAAAUACAAGCUGGACACCUUCUCUUCAGUCUACUGCUGGCUUUGCAGGAAGAAGGCAAGGCCUUGAAGAAGAAACCCCGUCUGAAUGUCUGAUCACCGCAAAGGUGAAGCUAGAGAGGCAGGUGUGCUUGGAGUAGUUCUCGGCCCUGAAGGCCCUGUGCUGGGUGUUAAUGUGGUCGCAGGGGAGCACCGUCACAGUGGCGCUGUGAUGCUUAGCUCCAUCGAUAGGAACAGAGAAGUAUGAUGUAUGUCAAGAGCUGUAAGAGAAGCAGUACAUGCAGGACCUGUAGAAGAAGAUAGCAGAGAGACAGAAGGCUUUUUAAAAGGCAUGAAGCAUGUCAGGUCGGAGAGCGGGAUUGUGCUCGCCAAGCCAUUCGUUGAUGUCCGCAAGAAGAUCCUACCUGUUUUUGGUUCUUCACCAGUUACGACUUAUUUUAGCAAGUCGUCACCAUAGGCAACGGAUGCAGCUACAACUUUAAAGAAAGGCACUUGUCGCCUGGCCGGGUGUCGCCCUGUUGCAAAAAAUACUGCCUGGGUUCAUCACUAAGAAGGCAGAGAGAUAGAAACAAUGCUCACUCCCUGUUUGGAAGGCAUGAAGCAUGUCAGGUCGGAGAGGGGGGUUGUGCGAGCCAAGCCAUCCAUUGAUAUGUGCAAGCGGAUUCUACCUGUCUUGGCAGGUUGGAUCUAGGAUAGAUGGCGAGCAAUCGUUCAUGCCGUUGUAGGAGAUGUGCAGGUCUAAAGCAAACGGAUAAUCAAAUUUGUGGACCUUUGUCACAGGCAGAUGAUUUUCUUGGUUUAUGCGUUUGCCUUUGUCGAGUUUCUCUGGGAAUUUAAUAUUGCUCAGACUUGUUAGUGGCUUCAUUAUUAAACUUCCAAACUAUUGUCAACCUUUUAGGAAAGCGGUGUUGGAUGCAUGCUGGGAUAGUCUAUCUUUUUUUUCGUACAUGUAGUCCUCUAUAUCCUUGUAAAAAAAUCGACACAUCUGUCACUUGAGCAGAAUUUAUCCGUGACCU